RNAcentral lists this transfer RNA (73 nucleotides) under Uvitellina sp. SSS-2019. RNAcentral's name for it is "tRNA-Asp". The record is from RNAcentral. Lineage: Eukaryota; Metazoa; Platyhelminthes; Trematoda; Plagiorchiida; Cyclocoelidae.
UUGCUUCUAGUUUAAGUUAGAAUGUUGACUUGUCGGGUUGAAGGUAUAUGUAGUUGUUUUUGUUUGAAGCAAG